Non-coding RNA from Benincasa hispida (wax gourd), 710 nucleotides. NCBI's taxonomy places the organism in Eukaryota, Viridiplantae, Streptophyta, Magnoliopsida, Cucurbitales, Cucurbitaceae. The record is from RefSeq and is a predicted model, not a curated record.
AUUUUUUUUUUAAAAAAAAAACCCUUUUUCCCAUACUUCUUCCUCCUGCCGCCGCCGCCAUCCUCACUGCCCAGAACGACCUCGCCGCCACCUCCGUCACCGUCGCUUGUUCGCCCAUGGAUCGUCGCCGCUUGUAGUCACUGCCACUUGUUCGCCCGUGGAUCGUCGCCGCUCGUCGUCACUAUCGAAGUGUCGCUCACGCCCGUGGGUCGCUGCCGCUCGUCGUCACAAUCGGAGUACCACUCGUACGCCCGUGGGUCGCCGCUACUCGCCGUCACGUCGUCCCUUCCACGCCUGUCCUUCAUCCGUAUAGCUGUCGAUCGUCUUCCAGCCGCCAGAUCUGUGGUGCAGCAGCAGAUUCGACGCCUAGCCACCAGCCACGCAGGCUUCUUCCGGUCAUUGCUCAUCGCACUGCCGUCGGAGACCACGCGCCGCCAGACCUCUCUUUCGUUCGCCACCGUUUUGUCGAUUUUGAGUGUUGAGACUGGUUGGAAUCAAGAUUUGGGAGGAUUUUGAGGUGGUCCACAAGGUUUGAAGUUUAAGACCAAUUUGGGGGGGAGGAAGGGUGCAAUUUGUUAAGGGGCUUCAAGGCUUUGCUUGGCAAGGAGAAAUAGGCUUGCUUAAACUAAUUUGGAUUUACUUUGAGGUAAGGGUAGAGAUGCACCGGCGAUGGCGCAGCGGAAUUCAUGAUCGUGCCACUGGGACUAGUU